This 408-nucleotide ribosomal RNA is filed under the name actinobacterium SCGC AAA278-K22. Its description in RNAcentral is "bacterial SSU rRNA". It matches the Rfam family "Bacterial small subunit ribosomal RNA", at positions 352 to 772 of the family's 1533-position model. Lineage: Bacteria; Bacillati; Actinomycetota; Actinomycetes. The record is from RNAcentral.
CAGUGGGGAAUAUUGCACAAUGGGCGCAAGCCUGAUGCAGCGACGCCGCGUGGGGGAUGACGGCCUUCGGGUUGUAAACCUCUUUCAGCUCUGACGAAGCGCAAGUGACGGUAGGAGCAGAAGAAGGACCGGCCAACUACGUGCCAGCAGCCGCGGUAAUACGUAGGGUCCGAGCGUUGUCCGGAAUUACUGGGCGUAAAGAGCUCGUAGGUGGUUUGUCGCGUUGUUCGUGAAAUCUCACAACUCAAUUGUGAGCGUGCGGGCGAUACGGGCAGACUGGAGUACUGCAGGGGAGACUGGAAUUCCUGGUGUAGCGGUGGAAUGCGCAGAUAUCAGGAGGAACACCGGUGGCGAAGGCGGGUCUCUGGGCAGUAACUGACGCUGAGGAGCGAAAGCGUGGGGAGCAAA